Molecule: small RNA, 948 nt
Filed under: uncultured Vermispora
Lineage: Eukaryota; Fungi; Ascomycota; Orbiliomycetes; Orbiliales; Orbiliaceae
Description: eukaryotic LSU rRNA
Rfam family: Eukaryotic large subunit ribosomal RNA (bases 669-948)
Source: RNAcentral
CUUGGUCAUUUAGAGGAAGUAAAAGUCGUAACAAGGUUUCCGUAGGUGAACCUGCGGAAGGAUCAUUACAAAUGACACCAGGCAGCAGAUACUCUUGUCUACUGCCGUCACGGUCGAUCUAUUGCUACCGUAGUCAUGUUCCGGCAUGACUUCGUGUCCACCCAAUGUGAACCUUUAUACUUUGCUUCGGCAGCGCUUAGCGAUUAAAACUCGCAAAGGUAAGGCUGUCGAUAGCACCAAUAAAAACUAGUUGAUUAAAUUUCAUGCUGUCUGAAGCUUUUUGAGAAAUCAAAUUACAAGUUAAAACUUUCAGCAACGGAUCUCUUGGUUCUCGCAUCGAUGAAGAACGCAGCGAAACGCGAUAGGUAAUGUGAAUUGCAGAAUUCCGUGAAUCAUCGAAUCUUUGAACGCACAUUGCGCCUUCUGGUAUUCCGGGAGGCAUGCCUGUUUGAGCGUCAGCAAAAACCCUUCAGCAAACUAUUUUUGUUGUCUGCUAGGUAUUGGGCAUGGAGGAAAAAGGCUUCAUGGUCUUGCUCCUGCUUUAAACUUGCUGCACAACCCCAAACUACUGCUAGGUCUAUGGAAGUGGUGUUUACAUAUAUUUUCCAGUACGAUCAGGCUAGUAUUGUGGCGUUAAAUUAAUGUUGCCUUCAAAAGCAACUGAAGUUUGACCUCAAAUCAGACAAGGAUACCCGCUGAACUUAAGCAUAUCAAUAAGCGGAGGAAAAGAAACCAACAGGGAUUGCCUCAGUAACGGCGAGUGAAGCGGCAAGAGCUCAGAUUUGAAAUCUGGUACUUUCAGUGCCCGAGUUGUAAUCUGCAGAGAGUACUUCGGCUUAGGCUCCGGUCAAGGUCCCUUGGAACAGGGCGACAUAGAGGGUGAGAACCCCGUACCCGGCCGUUUGCCAAUGCCAUGUGAAGUCUCUUCGACGAGUCGAGUUGUUUGGG